AGCGAACGCUGGCGGCAGGCCUAACACAUGCAAGUCGAACGAACUCUUCGGAGUUAGUGGCGGACGGGUGAGUAACACGUGGGAACGUGCCUUUUGGUUCGGAAUAACUCAGGGAAACUUGUGCUAAUACCGAAUGUGCCCUUCGGGGGAAAGAUUUAUCGCCAUUAGAGCGGCCCGCGUCUGAUUAGCUAGUUGGGGAGGUAACGGCUCACCAAGGCGACGAUCAGUAGCUGGUCUGAGAGGAUGACCAGCCACACUGGGACUGAGACACGGCCCAGACUUCUACGGGAGGCAGCAGUGGGGAAUCGUGCGCAAUGGGCGAAAGCAUGAAGCAGCCAUGCCGCGUGAAUGAUGAAGGUCUUAGGAUUGUAAAAUUCUUUCACCGGGGACGAUAAUGACGGUACCCGGAGAAGAAGCCCCGGCUAACUUCGUG
RNAcentral lists this ribosomal RNA (433 nucleotides) under uncultured bacterium. Its description in RNAcentral is "partial 16S ribosomal RNA". It matches the Rfam family "Bacterial small subunit ribosomal RNA", at positions 29 to 507 of the family's 1533-position model. The record is from RNAcentral.